GGACGUGAGCGGCGGAUGGGUGAGUAACACGUGGGCAACCUGCCUGUAAGACGGGGAUAACUUCGGGAAACCGGAGCUAAUACCGGAUAAUCCCUCGCACCGCAUGGUGCGAGGUUGAAAGAUGGUUUCGGCCAUCACUUACAGAUGGGCCCGCGGUGCAUUAGUUAGUUGGCGGGGUAAUGGCCCACCAAGACCGCGAUGCAUAGCCGACCUGAGAGGGUGAUCGGCCACAUUGGGACUGAGACACGGCCCAAACUCCUACGGGAGGCAGCAGUAGGGAAUCUUCCACAAUGGACGAAAGUCUGAUGGAGCAACGCCGCGUGAGCGAAGAAGGUUUUCGGAUCGUAAAGCUCUGUUGCCGGAGAAGAACGAGUGCCAGAGGAAAUGCUGGUGCUGUGACGGUAUCCGGCCAGAAAGCCACGGCUAACUACGUGCCAGCAGCCGCGGUAAUACGUAGGUGGCAAGCGUUGUCCGGAAUUAUUGGGCGUAAAGCGCGCGCAGGCGGCUUCUUAAGUCUGAUGUGAAAUCUUGCGGCUCAACCGCAAAAGGUCAUUGGAAACUGGGGAGCUUGAGUGCAGAAGAGGAGAGUAGAAUUCCACGUGUAGCGGUGAAAUGCGUAGAGAUGUGGAGGAAUACCAGUGGCGAAGGCGGCUCUCUGGUCUGUUACUGACGCUGAGGUGCGAAGCAUGGGGAGCAAACAGGAUUAGAUACCCUGGUAGUCCAUGCCGUAAACGAUGAAUGCUAGGUGUUAGGGGGUCCAACCCCUUAGUGCUGAAGUUAACACAUUAAGCAUUCCGCCUGGGGAGUACGACCGCAAGGUUGAAACUCAAAGGAAUUGACGGGGGCCCGCACAAGCAGUGGAGCAUGUGGUUUAAUUCGAAGCAACGCGAAGAACCUUACCAGGUCUUGACAUCCUCUGACAAGCCUAGAGAUAGGCCGUUCCCCUUCGGGGGACAGAGUGACAGGUGGUGCAUGGUUGUCGUCAGCUCGUGUCGUGAGAUGUUGGGUUAAGUCCCGCAACGAGCGCAACCCUUGAUCUUAGUUGCCAGCAUUAAGUUGGGCACUCUAAGGUGACUGCCGGUGACAAACCGGAGGAAGGUGGGGAUGACGUCAAAUCAUCAUGCCCCUUAUGAUCUGGGCUACACACGUGCUACAAUGGGCGGUACAAAGGGCAGCGAAACCGCAAGGUCAAGCCAAUCCCAUAAAGCCGCCCCCAGUUCGGAUUGCAGGCUGCAACUCGCCUGCAUGAAGCCGGAAUUGCUAGUAAUCGCGGAUCAGCAUGCCGCGGUGAAUCCGUUCCCGGGCCUUGUACACACCGCCCGUCACACCACGAGAGUUUGUAACACCCGAAGUCGGUGUGGGAACCUUUAUGGACCCAGCCGCCGAAGGUGGGACAAAUGAUUGGGGUGAAGUCGUAACAAGGUAGCCGUAUCGGAAGGU
RNAcentral lists this ribosomal RNA (1440 nucleotides) under Sporolactobacillus inulinus. RNAcentral describes it as "SSU rRNA". It matches the Rfam family "Bacterial small subunit ribosomal RNA". Lineage: Bacteria; Bacillati; Bacillota; Bacilli; Caryophanales; Sporolactobacillaceae. The record is from RNAcentral.